RNAcentral lists this ribosomal RNA (465 nucleotides) under uncultured bacterium. Its description in RNAcentral is "partial 16S ribosomal RNA". It matches the Rfam family "Bacterial small subunit ribosomal RNA", at positions 338 to 795 of the family's 1533-position model. The record is from RNAcentral.
CCUACGGGAGGCAGCAGUGGGGAAUAUUGCGCAAUGGGCGAAAGCCUGCCGCAGCGACGCCGCGUGAGGGAUGAAGGUCUUCGGAGCGUAAACCCCUGUCAGCAGGGAAGAACGGUCGCUGUGCUAAUCAGCAGUGAAUUGACGGUACCUGCAAAGCAAGCACCGGCUACCUCCGUGCCAGCAGCCGCGGUAAUACGGAGGGUGCGAGCGUUAAUCGGAAUUACUGGGCGUAAAGCGCUCGUAGGCGGUAUAUCAAGUCAAGGGUGAAAUCCCCGCGCUCAACGUAGGAACGGCCUUUGAAACUGGCAAACUGGAGUGGGUGAGAGGAUAGUGGAAUUCCAGGUGUAGGGGUGAAAUCCGUAGAUAUCUGGAGGAACAUCAGUGGCGAAGGCGACUAUCUGGCACAUAACUGACGCUGAGGAGCGAAAGCGUGGGUAGCAAACAGGAUUAGAUACCCCGGUAGUC